RNAcentral lists this ribosomal RNA (253 nucleotides) under uncultured bacterium. RNAcentral describes it as "partial 16S ribosomal RNA". It matches the Rfam family "Bacterial small subunit ribosomal RNA", at positions 524 to 776 of the family's 1533-position model. The record is from RNAcentral.
UACGAAGGGUGCAAACGUUGCUCGGAAUCAUUGGGCGUAAAGCGCACGUAGGCGGCUUCGCAAGUCGGAUGUGAAAGCCCCGGGCUCAACCCGGGAAGUGCAUUCGAAACUGGCGGGCUUGAAUAUGGAAGAGGGUCGCGGAAUUCCCGGUGUAGAGGUGAAAUUCGUAGAUAUCGGGAGGAACACCAGUGGCGAAGGCGGCGACCUGGGCCAAUAUUGACGCUGAGGUGCGAAAGCGUGGGGAGCAAACAGG